Molecule: ribosomal RNA, 496 nt
Filed under: uncultured bacterium
Lineage: Bacteria
Description: partial 16S ribosomal RNA
Rfam family: Bacterial small subunit ribosomal RNA
Source: RNAcentral
GAUGAACGCUGGCGGCGUGCCUAAUACAUGCAAGUCGAGCGAACAGACGAGGAGCUUGCUCCUCUGACGUUAGCGGCGGACGGGUGAGUAACACGUGGAUAACCUACCUAUAAGACUGGGAUAACUUCGGGAAACCGGAGCUAAUACCGGAUAAUAUAUUGAACCGCAUGGUUCAAUAGUGAAAGACGGUUUUGCUGUCACUUAUAGAUGGAUCCGCGCCGCAUUAGCUAGUUGGUAAGGUAACGGCUUACCAAGGCAACGAUGCGUAGCCGACCUGAGAGGGUGAUCGGCCACACUGGAACUGAGACAGGGCCCAGACUCCUACGGGAGGCAGCAGUAGGGAAUCUUCCGCAAUGGGCGAAAGCCUGACGGAGCAACGCGGCGUGAGUGAUGAAGGUCUUCGGAUCGUAAAACUCUGUUAUUAGGGAAGAACAAAUGUGUAAGUAACUAUGCACGUCUUGACGGUACCUAAUCAGAAAGCCACGGCUAACUCCGU